CUACGGGAGGCUCCAGUGAGGAAUAUUGCACAAUGGGGGGAACCCUGAUGCAGCAACGCCGCGUGGAGGAUGACGCAUUUCGGUGUGUAAACUCCUUUUAUAUGUCAAGAAAAUGACGGUAGCAUAUGAAUAAGCACCGGCUAACUCCGUGCCAGCAGCCGCGGUAAUACGGAGGGUGCAAGCGCUACUCGGAAUCACUGGGCGGAAAGGACGCGUAGGCGGGUUGGAAAGUCAGGUGUGAAAUCCUACAGCUUAACUGUAGAACUGCACUUGAAACUUCUAAUCUAGAGUAUGGGAGGGGGAGAUGGAAUUAGUGGUGUAGGGGUAAAAUCCGUAGAUAUCACUAGGAAUACCUAAAGCGAAGGCGAUCUCCUGGAACAUUACUGACGCUAAGGCGUGAAAGCGUGGGGAGCAAACAGGAUUAGAUACCCCUGUAGUC
RNAcentral lists this ribosomal RNA (439 nucleotides) under uncultured bacterium. RNAcentral's name for it is "partial 16S ribosomal RNA". It matches the Rfam family "Bacterial small subunit ribosomal RNA", at positions 339 to 795 of the family's 1533-position model. The record is from RNAcentral.